Molecule: ribosomal RNA, 402 nt
Filed under: uncultured bacterium
Lineage: Bacteria
Description: bacterial SSU rRNA
Rfam family: Bacterial small subunit ribosomal RNA
Source: RNAcentral
UGGGGAAUCUUGCGCAAUGGGGGCAACCCUGAUGCAGCGACGCCGCGUGAGCGAUGAAGCCCUUCGGGGCGUAAAGCUCUUUCGACCGGAACGAUAAUGACGGUACCGGGAGAAGAAGCUGCGGCUAACUACGUGCCAGCAGCCGCGGUGAUACGUAGGCAGCAAGCGUUGUUCGGAGUUACUGGGCGUAAAGAGUGCGUAGGCGGUUUUCUAAGUUCGGUGUGAAAUCUCCCGGCUUAACUGGGAGGGUGCGCCGAAGACUGGGAAGCUGGAGUGUGGGAAAGGCAGGCGGAAUUCCUGGUGUAGCGGUGAAAUGCGUAGAUAUCAGGAGGAACACCGGCGGUGUAGACGGCUUGCUAGACCAUAACUGACGCUGAGGCACGAAAGCGUGGGUAGCAAACA